UACAGAGGUCUCAAGCGUUGUUCGGAUUCAUUGGGCGUAAAGGGCGCGUAGGCGGGCUCUCAAGUCAGGGGUGAAAGCCCACGGCCCAACCGUGGAAGUGCCUCUGAUACUGGGGGCCUGGAGGGGGAUAGGGGCGUGCGGAACUUGGGGUGGAGCGGUGAAAUGCGUAGAUAUCCCAAGGAACACCGGUGGCGAAGGCGGCACGCUGGGUCCCUACUGACGCUGAGGCGCGAAAGCCAGGGGAGCGAACGGG
This 253-nucleotide ribosomal RNA is filed under the name uncultured bacterium. Its description in RNAcentral is "partial 16S ribosomal RNA". It matches the Rfam family "Bacterial small subunit ribosomal RNA", at positions 524 to 776 of the family's 1533-position model. The record is from RNAcentral.